This 497-nucleotide ribosomal RNA is filed under the name uncultured bacterium. RNAcentral's name for it is "partial 16S ribosomal RNA". It matches the Rfam family "Bacterial small subunit ribosomal RNA", at positions 28 to 507 of the family's 1533-position model. The record is from RNAcentral.
GAUGAACGCUGGCGGCGUGCCUAAUACAUGCAAGUCGAGCGAACAGACGAGGAGCUUGCUCCUCUGACGUUAGCGGCGGACGGGUGAGUAACACGUGGAUAACCUACCUAUAAGACUGGGAUAACUUCGGGAAACCGGAGCUAAUACCGGAUAAUAUAUUGAACCGCAUGGUUCAAUAGUGAAAGACGGUUUUGCUGUCACUUAUAGAUGGAUCCGCGCCGCAUUAGCUAGUUGGUAAGGUAACGGCUUACCAAGGCAACGAUGCGUAGCCGACCUGAGAGGGUGAUCGGCCACACUGGAACUGAGACACGGUCCAGACUCCUACGGGAGGCAGCAGUAGGGAAUCUUCCGCAAUGGGCGAAAGCCUGACGGAGCAACGCCGCGUGAGUGAUGAAGGUCUUCGGAUCGUAAAACUCUGUUAUUAGGGAAGAACAAAUGUGUAAGUAACUAUGCACGUCCUGACGGUACCUAAUCAGAAAGCCACGGCUAACUAGGUG